AGAGGAAGUCGGUGCGAAUCCGGCGCGGUCCCGCCACUGUCACCGGGGAGUACCCCCCACACGGAAGUCACGGCCCCUGACCGGGCUGGAAGGCCGGGGGGUGCGGGGAUCCGGGAGCCAGGAGACUC
Molecule: non-coding RNA, 128 nt
Filed under: Streptomyces tsukubensis
Lineage: Bacteria; Bacillati; Actinomycetota; Actinomycetes; Kitasatosporales; Streptomycetaceae
Source: RNAcentral